UACUUAACACAUGCAAGUCGUACGAGAAAGGGGACUUCGGUCCCUGAGUAGAGUGGCGCACGGGUGCGUAACACGUAAGUAAUCUACCCCGAACACUGGGAUAACCCUCCGAAAGGAGGGCUAACACUGGAUAGGGUCCCCGAGGUCUAAGCCGCGGGGGAAAAACGGGCCUCUGUUUCAUGCUCGUGGUUCGGGAUGAGCUUGCGGCCCAUUAGCUAGUUGGUAGGGUAAUGGCCUACCAAGGCUACGAUGGGUAGCUGGUCUGAGAGGAUGAUCAGCCACGCUGGCACUGAGACACGGGCCAGACUCCUACGGGAGGCAGCAGUGGGGAAUUUUGCGCAAUGGGCGAAAGCCUGACGCAGUAACGCCGCGUGGAGGAUGAAGGCCUUCGGGUUGUAAACUCC
RNAcentral lists this ribosomal RNA (404 nucleotides) under uncultured organism. RNAcentral describes it as "bacterial SSU rRNA". It matches the Rfam family "Bacterial small subunit ribosomal RNA", at positions 45 to 433 of the family's 1533-position model. The record is from RNAcentral.